Molecule: ribosomal RNA, 700 nt
Filed under: uncultured bacterium
Lineage: Bacteria
Description: bacterial SSU rRNA
Rfam family: Bacterial small subunit ribosomal RNA
Source: RNAcentral
AGUGGCGGACGGGUGAGUAACGCGUAAGAAUCUAACUUCAGGACGGGGACAACAGUUGGAAACGACUGCUAAUACCCGAUGUGCCGCGAGGUGAAACCUAAUUGGCCUGAAGAAGAGCUUGCGUCUGAUUAGCUAGUUGGUGGGGUAAAGGCCUACCAAGGCGACGAUCAGUAGCUGGUCUGAGAGGAUGAGCAGCCACACUGGGACUGAGACACGGCCCAGACUCCUACGGGAGGCAGCAGUGGGGAAUUUUCCGCAAUGGGCGAAAGCCUGACGGAGCAACGCCGCGUGAGGGAGGAAGGUCUUUGGAUUGUAAACCUCUUUUCUCAAGGAAGAAGUUCUGACGGUACUUGAGGAAUCAGCCUCGGCUAACUCCGUGCCAGCAGCCGCGGUAAUACGGGGGAGGCAAGCGUUAUCCGGAAUUAUUGGGCGUAAAGCGUCCGCAGGUGGUCAGCCAAGUCUGCUGUCAAAUCAGGUUGCUUGACGACCUAAAGGCGGUGGAAACUGGCAGACUAGAGAGCAGUAGGGGUAGCAGGAAUUCCCAGUGUAGCGGUGAAAUGCGUAGAGAUUGGGAAGAACAUCGGUGGCGAAAGCGUGCUACUGGGCUGUAUCUGACACUCAGGGACGAAAGCUAGGGGAGCGAAAGGGAUUAGAUACCCCUGUAGUCCUAGCCGUAAACGAUGGAUACUAGGCGUGGCUU